This 200-nucleotide ribosomal RNA is filed under the name uncultured bacterium. RNAcentral describes it as "partial 16S ribosomal RNA". It matches the Rfam family "Bacterial small subunit ribosomal RNA", at positions 1301 to 1500 of the family's 1533-position model. The record is from RNAcentral.
UAGGCUGCAACUCGCCUACACGAAGUCGGAAUCGCUAGUAAUCGCGGAUCAGCAUGCCGCGGUGAAUACGUUCCCGGGCCUUGUACACACCGCCCGUCACACCAUGGAAGUUUGCAAUGCCCAAAGUCGGUGGCCUAACCAUUUGGAGGGAACCGCCUAAGGCAGGACAGAUGACUGGGGUGAAGUCGUAACAAGGUAGC